This 663-nucleotide ribosomal RNA is filed under the name uncultured cyanobacterium. RNAcentral describes it as "bacterial SSU rRNA". It matches the Rfam family "Bacterial small subunit ribosomal RNA", at positions 99 to 795 of the family's 1533-position model. Lineage: Bacteria; Bacillati; Cyanobacteriota. The record is from RNAcentral.
CGGACGGGUGAGUAACGCGUGAGAAUCUGGCUCCAGGUCGGGGAUAACAGUUGGAAACGACUGCUAAUACCGGAUGUGCCGAGAGGUGAAAGAUUUAUCGCCUGGAGAUGAGCUCGCGUCUGAUUAGCUAGUUGGCGGUGUAAGGGACCACCAAGGCGUCGAUCAGUAGCUGGUCUGAGAGGAUGAUCAGCCACACUGGGACUGAGACACGGCCCAGACUCCUACGGGAGGCAGCAGUGGGGAAUUUUCCGCAAUGGGCGAAAGCCUGACGGAGCAAUACCGCGUGAGGGAGGAAGGCUCUUGGGUCGUAAACCUCUUUUCUCAAGGAAGAAGAAAGUGACGGUACUUGAGGAAUAAGCAUCGGCUAACUCCGUGCCAGCAGCCGCGGUAAUACGGAGGAUGCAAGCGUUAUCCGGAAUGAUUGGGCGUAAAGGGUCUGCAGGUGGAACUGAAAGUCUGCUGUUAAAGAGUUUGGCUUAACCAAAUAAAAGCGGUGGAAACUACAGAACUAGAGUGCGGUAGGGGCAAAAGGAAUUCCUGGUGUAGCGGUGAAAUGCGUAGAUAUCACGAAGAACACCGGUGGCGAAAGCGUUUUGCUAGACCGUAACUGACACUGAGGGACGAAAGCUAGGGGAGCGAAUGGGAUUAGAUACCCCUGUAGUC